RNAcentral lists this non-coding RNA (29 nucleotides) under Mus musculus (house mouse). Lineage: Eukaryota; Metazoa; Chordata; Mammalia; Rodentia; Muridae. The record is from RNAcentral.
UAUCAUAUGUGAGACAAGAUGGUGGUGGC